This 700-nucleotide ribosomal RNA is filed under the name uncultured bacterium. Its description in RNAcentral is "bacterial SSU rRNA". It matches the Rfam family "Bacterial small subunit ribosomal RNA", at positions 54 to 801 of the family's 1533-position model. The record is from RNAcentral.
CAUGCAGUCGAACGCAGUAGCAAUACUGAGUGGCAGACGGGUGAGUAACAUGUGGGAAUCUGCCUUGUGGUUCAGGACAACAUUGGGAAACUGAUGCUAAUACUGGAUAAGCCCUUACGGGGAAAGUUUUAAUGCCAUAAGAUGAGCCCGCAUUUGAUUAGUUAGUUGGUGAGGUAAUGGCUCACCAAGACAAUGAUCAAUAGCUGAUCUGAGAGGAUGAUCAGCCACACUGGGACUGAGACACGGCCCAGACUCCUACGGGAGGCAGCAGUGGGGAAUCUUGCACAAUGGAGGAAACUCUGAUGCAGCGAUGCCGCGUGAGUGAAGAAGGCCUUUGGGUUGUAAAGCUCUUUUGUAGGGGAAGAUAAUGACUGUACCCUAAGAAUAAGGUCCGGCUAACUUCGUGCCAGCAGCCGCGGUAAUACGAAGGGACCUAGCGUAGUUCGGAAUUACUGGGCGUAAAGCGCGCGUAGGCCGUUGAGUUAGUUAAUUGUGAAAUCCCAAAGCUUAACUUUGGAACUGCAAUUAAAACUGCUCGACUAGAGUUUGAUAGAGGAAAGCGGAAUACAUAGUGUAGAGGUGAAAUUCGUAGAUAUUAUGUAGAACACCAGUUGCGAAGGCGGCUUUCUGGAUCAACACUGACGCUGAGGCGCGAAAGUAUGGGUAGCAAAGAGGAUUAGAUACCCUCGUAGUCCAUACC